This 746-nucleotide ribosomal RNA is filed under the name Tulasnella violea. Its description in RNAcentral is "partial small subunit ribosomal RNA". It matches the Rfam family "Bacterial small subunit ribosomal RNA", at positions 373 to 931 of the family's 1533-position model. Lineage: Eukaryota; Fungi; Basidiomycota; Agaricomycetes; Cantharellales; Tulasnellaceae. The record is from RNAcentral.
GCUCGAAAGAGUGAACGAGCUAACUGGAAUCCAAUGUUGCGGAGAAAUUUGUAACAUUGGAUAAUGUAAGGGAGGAUUAUGACGUUACCUUACGAUAAGUGUCGUCCAAACACUGGUGCCAGAAGACUCGGUAAUACCAGAGACGCAAACGUUAGUCAUCUUAAAUUGGCGUAAAGGGUUCGUAGGCAGCUUACGCGCUAUACGCGCAUCGUAAAUUAUUACAUUAAAGUAAUGAAGCGAGAUUAGGUAAGAUAGAAUCAAAUGGAGGAAAUAGGACAAUACUUAGAUGAGGGUUGAAAUAUGCAGAUUUUAAGUAGAGAACCCAUGGCGAAGGCUCCUUUCCAAAAGUGAUUGACGCUGAGGAACGAAGGUGUAGAUAGGAAAUAGGAUUAGAUACCCUGGUACCCUCCACUGUAAACGAUGAAUGGUAAGAGUAUAUACAAAGUUAUUAAAAUAAGUUAGACCAUUAUAAUCAUUCCUUCCCUUAAAAGAAAGAGUGCAUUCUCUUAUAUAUGUGUAAUUCUAAAUUUAAAUUUACUUCUUUUUAGAUUUAUUAUUAAGCUGUAUAAUAUUUUAUGUUUUAAUUACUUAUUUUAAUCCGGAUUUUAAAUUUUGGAUUAUAUCUAAAAUCAAUGAAAUAAACUUAAUAAGUAUAUGUUCUGAUGCUAAGUGCGAUAACCAUUCCGCCUUGUGAGUAUACUUUGCAAAAGUGAAAAUAAAAAAAUUAGUCGGUUUUAGAGCAAACG